This 278-nucleotide unclassified non-coding RNA is filed under the name air metagenome. RNAcentral's name for it is "partial contains small subunit ribosomal RNA, internal transcribed spacer 1, and 5.8S ribosomal RNA". The stretch from base 1 to 46 matches the Rfam family "Eukaryotic small subunit ribosomal RNA", at positions 1786 to 1831 of the family's 1831-position model. The record is from RNAcentral.
AAGUCGUAACAAGGUUUCCGUAGGUGAACCUGCGGAAGGAUCAUUACCGAAUUGUCAACACGAGUUGUUGCUGGCCCUCAGAUGGGGGCAAGUGCACGCUCUGUUUGCACAUCCACUCACACCUGUGCACCUUCUGUAGUUCUGUGGCCUGGGGGGGCUCUGUCCCCCUCUGCUGUGGUCCUACACCUUUACACACACACUGUAAUGAAGUCUCAUGGAAUGUAUGCCGCGUUUAACGCAAUGUAAUACAACUUUCAGCAACGGAUCUCUUGGCUCUC